Molecule: non-coding RNA, 70 nt
Organism: Sarcophilus harrisii (Tasmanian devil)
Lineage: Eukaryota; Metazoa; Chordata; Mammalia; Dasyuromorphia; Dasyuridae
Source: Rfam
AGUUACUAGGCAGUGUAGUUAGCUGAUUGCUAGUAGUAGUACCAAUCACUAACCACACAGCCAAGUAAAC